AUGCUCACGUGGGCAGCACAAACAACAAAAUUGGAACAAUGCAAAGAUUAGCGUGGCCCCUGCGCAAGGAAGCCACUCAUUCAUGCAAUGGUUCAUAGUUUU
Apodemus sylvaticus (European woodmouse) is the source of this 102-nucleotide small nuclear RNA. NCBI's taxonomy places the organism in Eukaryota, Metazoa, Chordata, Mammalia, Rodentia, Muridae. The record is from RefSeq and is a predicted model, not a curated record.